This 250-nucleotide ribosomal RNA is filed under the name Clostridioides difficile. RNAcentral's name for it is "partial 16S ribosomal RNA". It matches the Rfam family "Bacterial small subunit ribosomal RNA", at positions 1 to 260 of the family's 1533-position model. The record is from RNAcentral. Lineage: Bacteria; Bacillati; Bacillota; Clostridia; Peptostreptococcales; Peptostreptococcaceae.
UUAUUUGAGAGUUUGAUCCUGGCUCAGGAUGAACGCUGGCGGCGUGCCUAACACAUGCAAGUUGAGCGAUUUACUUCGGUAAAGAGCGGCGGACGGGUGAGUAACGCGUGGGUAACCUACCCUGUACACACGGAUAACAUACCGAAAGGUAUGCUAAUACGGGAUAAUAUAUUUGAGAGGCAUCUCUUGAAUAUCAAAGGUGAGCCAGUACAGGAUGGACCCGCGUCUGAUUAGCUAGUUGGUAAGGUAA